CUCGAUUGGGAAUAAGCACGUUUGGCAUACCUUGUCAGCCGCAAGUCGUGCAACUAAGGCCUCCUUCAGAGGUCCCAACCAAUGAUGGGCCCCGACGAAACGCUUGUUCAGCAAUUUCGUGUGCGGGGCUGCUUGCGCGUAAACGGCCUCCAGUUCGAGCACCACCAUAUUUCACGCUCCUCGAACCCUUAACCUCUUCUCUUUUCUUUUCUUCUCUUCUUUUCUUUUCUUUUCUCUUCUGUUUUCUCUUCUUCUUCUUCUUCUUGCUUUCUUUUUCUUGUUUUUUUUCUUUUCUUUUUAGUCGUUACUCCACGAAAAAGGAUUUCACAAAGGCAGUAUAAGUAACACAAUGGUGUACACUAACAUUUACCCCCUCCUUUGUUUAUUAUAAUACUAAUACUAAUAAUAAUAAUAAUAAUAAUAAUAAUAAUAAUAAUAAUAAUAAUAAUAAUAAUAAUAAUAAUGAUAAUAAUAGUAAUAAUAAUAAUACUAAUAAUAUAACACUCUGAAGAUGAGGAUUCUUACGGAAGUCACAGACACGCCUUUACACUUUUUUUUUUCUCAUAAAAUAUCUUCCUUCAAAACGUCGUUUUCCAUUGUAUUCCAAUCAUAUUAAAUCGGAUGGCCCCAUUAUGAUCAUGCGAUCAAUUUCUCUUUGAGAUUUGCUAUUUCGAUCGUGAGGAAAAAUCGUUGAAUCUUCUUCGAUAAAAUAUCAUCUCGCGUUCAUGCACCACGUGGAUCGUCCACAACGAUGACGACGAGGACGAAAACAACGACAACGACAACGACAACGACAACGACAACGACAACGCGUGCAUACACCGAUCGUCGAUUCUUUCGCACGUCUUCGUACCAACUGCGUGCCUUUCGCGCGUUAGCUCGCUCUGUCUCUCUCUUUCUCUUUCUCUCUCUCUCUCCCUCCUUUUUGGAAUGUACGUAUGCGUGUGUAAUACACAAGAAGGAUAGAAAGAUUGAGUGGGAGAGUUAAGGACUAGACGGAAGCGAUAGAGUUGUAAAGAGAGAAGAAGCCGAUGAAAGGAGGCACGUAUGUAUAUAUAUAUCGAAAAAAAAAAAAAAAUAGUCUCCUUCGCACUGCUCGAUAAAUCCUAAGAGAACCUCUUUCACGAUCGCAAAACCGAUUAUCGGAACCCACUACGUCUCCGUGUGUCUCGUGUGUCUUCUGCGUUCGCUCGAACCAACAACGACGACGACGACGACGACAACGGCGGCGGCGGCGGCGGCGGCGGUAGACCGCGCGCGCUUCGCGAAAGCCGGAACAGGGAGAAAAGAAGGGGGUGGGGGAAAUAGAUAGACGAAAGAGAGAGAGGAGAGGAGAGAGAGAAAAAGACGGACAGACAGACAGACAGACAGACAGACAGAGAGAGAGAGAUAGAAGGUAACGAAAGAGAAGUAUAAAUAAGAAGGCCGGUUCUCCGCGCGAGCCGUUAAGUCCAGCGUGAUCCGGGCUUAAGCCGCGCUCGCAACGGUUGCCGCAUAGAAAGGCAGUUGAGAACUGACUGCUGCCUCCUCUCCAGUCUCCUCGCUCCCAUGGCCCGAGCGCUUUGAGUGACGCGACUCGACGCGACGCGACGCGAAGCGAGGCGAGGCAAGACGAAGCGAGGCGAGGCGAGGCGAGACGAAGCGAGGAGCGAUGGCUAGGUAUAAAAAUACUUGGCUGGGACAGGCAGGCAGGCAGGCAGGCAAGCAAGCAAGCAAGCAAGCAAGCAGGCAAGCAGCCUACCUCCGGACGCAAGAGUAACACCUAUGACGUUGGCACGAUAAAAGCACGAGUCGGGAAAAGCCCGUUAAGACUCGUACGGCGCAAGCUCCAAAGCUACUUUAGAAAAUUUUAGCUUUCGAACGGAGGGAGAGAGAGGGUGGGGAGAGAGAGAGUGAAUGAUAAACGCCGGAAAUCGAAAAUACCUAUUGAAAAUGAACGCGAAGAAACGUUCGGAUCCUAGAAAGAAAAUCAACUAUCGUGUUUUACAUUUACUUGUAAAAAAAAAAAAAAUGUAAAUGUGUAUAAGUAAUUCGCAGAGUAAAUUCAUUUUCAAACAUAAUAUUCCGAAGUAAAAUGGGUUUGGCCGAUCGUUAUGAUGACGUUGAGAUAAUAUAUAUUUAUGAUUAAAGUCCCACGGGUUUUAUAAUGUCACUAUUCUUUUAUAUAUAUAUAUAUAUAUAUAUAUAUAUAUAUAUAUAUAUAUAUCCCUUAAAAAAGGUUCUUUCAAGAGACAUGUACGAGCCACAUUCUUUCUAUCGAUAUUACUUCUUGAAUCGUUCUUUGAAUAAACUAUAUAUAAAGAAGAUAUUGUUACUAAGUUGCCACUCAUAAAGCGCCGGCAUUCGGAAUACCGCAGUGACCCGGAUUGAAAGACAUUACCAUUUUCUAGGCGAGGCAACGUCACUUGUUCAAAUUAGUUGAAUUACAUUUUCUAAUAUCUAAUCAUCACAAUUAACGUAUAAUUAAAACGCAUGUUUAGUUAGAAAUGUGCGUGUAUGCUCAACUAAGUUGUUUCAUAUCACGAGAGUAACGAGUAAAAAGAAAAAGAAAAGGAAGAAAGAAAAAGAGUUCGCUGUUGCGUUUUUAUUCAUCAACGCAUCGUCGAGAGAGAGAGAGAGAGAGAGAGAGAGAGAGAGAGAGAGAGAGAGAGAGAGAGAGAGAGAGAGAGAAAAGAAGAAAAAGAAGAAAAAGAAGAAGAAAUAUUUAAAAUGGCUCGACUUUUGCCAAAUCUAGCACUUGGUCACGGAUUUCAGCAUGUUCCCUAGUAUUAGUCUACGAAGAGAGUCCCAUAUAUACAACGUCAGAGGCGAGAAGAAACGAAGGGUUGGAGGUGAAGGUGGAGUGGCCACCUCGAGUUAGUUUCUAGCCUAGAUUCGACUUCGUGGCCGAUCCGAGAUUUUAAUUAGGACCUACACCGCGUGCGCGCCCACCCACGGAGAGAGAGAGAGAAAGAGAUAUAGAUAGAUAGAUAGAGAUAGAGACAGAGAGGGAGAGAGAGAGAGAGAGCUACUGCGACUGUUCUUCUCAGACUAAUGAUCUCUCUUUUCAUUAAUAAUUCAGCCUGGAGUGUCGUCUUCAACAUGGAACGCAGAAUAUUGUACUGGUAAUGAUGCCAACCGCGCUUCGCGACGCCCAUUGUUUCUAAAUACUCCUGGAAAAAAAAAAAAGGAAAGAAAGGAAAAAAAAAAUCUUCCUUCGAAGGUAUCAAAAAUGAUUCGUUUCUUCGUUAGAAUUUUCUCGUCUCUUCUUCACUGACUUUCUCUCUGUUUUCUCCUUUACCGACAAAUCAAACGAAUGUUCCUAACACCAUCAUCAUCCAUCAUCACUAUCACCGCUGCCUCCCACCAUUACUACCAUCACCAUCAUCAUCAAUUAUCAAUUAUCAUCGUUUUCGCGAAUGAUCAAAUAUAAGAAGAGAGAAGAAGAAGAAGGACUAACGACCUUGUAAGAUGUGCGUACAUAACGACGAUUAUGUAAAGACAUACCAAAAAUAUCUUAGAAUGACUGACAAGCUUUUGGCCUCAUAUACCAUCAUCAUAUCUCUUCGGUAUGUUUCUAGAGUUAGCAACCGAAUUCGUCGUAAAGUCAAUUGGGAUAUAUCAAAAGGAACGUAGUAUAAAUUUGAUUAGCUCUUCGAACGUUUUUACGAUAAAUAAGGAUCUACAAAGGAAAUUAUUUCUUUAUUCGCGUAGAAGAAAUUUUUUUACACGAAGGUCGAAUCGGAGAUAUCGGAAGAAAAAAUUUUAGAAGAGUGCUGCCAAAGAAUCUAGAUCUUUGCGGGGGAGAGAGAGAGAGAGAGAGAGAGAGAGAGAGAGAGAGAGAGAGAGAGAGAGAGAGAGAGAGAGAGAGGGUGAGGAUGAUGAGAAGGUUAGCGAAAAAGAAAAAAAAAAAAAGAGAGAGAGAGAAGGGAAAAAUCCGGAGGAGUAAAAAAAACAGACGAAGACGAAUAAUCAAGGUGAAAAUGUGGAAUCUCUGACCGAGACGACUUCGUUGAAAAUCACUCGGAAUCCCCGGCGCACCAGCUGAGAAAAAAGAUGUGCGCGCCUUCGGGCGAUGAUACAGAUUUUCAUCGGAGGAAGUCGUUGCACUUUAUGCUGAAUGGGCAGUGAGUCAACAACCCGAUCCCUUCUAAAUGUGCGCCAGUGUAUAAGUCUACACCUUUAACAGUGUCUUCUUCGACUCUCUGCAUCUCUCUCUCUCUCUCUUUCUCUCUCUCUCUCUCUCUCUCUCUCUCUCUCACAUUCUCUUUUUCUCUCAUCUAUCUAUCCAUCUUUUGCCUUCGUCGACUUUGUCGUUUUUUUUGCGUCCAAGAAGAGGAAGAAGGAGAAGAAUAUAGACAGAGAGAUAGAGACAAAGAGAGAGAGAGAGAGAGGAAAGAGAGGGUGGUGUAAGAGUGGGGAGAGAGAGGAAACGAGGUCUGGGAAUCGCUUCAUGCACUGCUAAGCACGAGCCUUCGCGUAAUAACAUGAUCAGAGAACGACUCGUCUCAUGCGUCCACGCACUUUUCCUACUAGCACAACUUCCCUUUACUCACAAAAACACAUACAGAGAGAGAGAGAGAGAGAGAGAGAGAGAGAGAGAGAGAGAGAGAGAGAGAGAGAGAGAGAGAGAGAGAGAGAGAGAGAGAGAGUAGCAAACAAGCGCAUGCACGUUCUUGCAUAAAUCCCGACAUAAUGCGCUCUCUCUCUCUCUCUCUCUCUCUCUCUCUCUCUCUCUCUCUCUCUCUCUCUCUCCCUUUCUCGCUUCUCUUUCUCUCUGUUCGGAGUUCUAUUUUUAUGUAAGCACAUAUCGAAGCAACGUGCACCAGCAGCCACCAUCAAGUGCAAGACUUGAAAAAAAAAAAAGCUAGAGAAUAAACGGGAAAGGAGAAAGAGAAAGGGAGAGAAAUGGGAGGUAGGAAUAGGUGGGGAGAAAGAGAGAGAGAAAGGGAGAGAAAGAGAAAGAGAAUGUAAACGGAAGGUCGAUAUCUCGCGAGAUUCUCGUUGACAUAACGUUACUCGAUGCCAUAACAUCGAGGGAAAAAAAAAAACAAUAAAGAACCUGAAGGAGAGAUCUUCGAAAGUAGAUGACCUUCAUCUAACGCAGACUUUUCAAAACGUGAGUUAAACGCGGUUAAACAUUUCUUUUUUUCUCUUUCUCUCUCUCUCUCUCUUUUUUUUUCACGAUCUCCCCUUCGCUAAAAGCGAUUUUCUGCGAUUUCAUCCGAGCGUACGAUGAGAACGAAAAAGAGCAAAAAGCGGUGAGAAAGGUAAGAGGGAGAAAGAGAAAAGAGAAGGAGAAGGAGGAGGAGGAGGAGGAAGAGAUGGAAGUGGUGGUGGAGGAGGAAGAGAAAGAAGGAUAGAGAAUGUUAGCUGCAGCACCUGUGCGUAUCGUGAGCCACGUGGAAAAUUCAAGCGUGCUUCCUUCCUUAGAACGAUAUUAACCGACUAUGCGCUUGCUAAAUCUCUUCAUGACGAUCUUCAGGACGGUUGUGGUGGUAAUUUCAGGGAUGACAUAUACGUGAAAGAAAAAGAUAGAGAUAGAGAAAGAAAACGCUGAGAGAGAGAGAGAGAGAGAGAGAGAGAGAGAGAGAGAGAGAGAGAGAGAGAGAAGGCAUGCGAAAUUGCACAUUAUUAAAAACGUCUUUCAUUUAAGGAUUAUCUUUAAUUAAUUAAUGAAUGAUGUAAUACGAUUUCGAAAGAUGGGUAAAAAAAAAAAAAGAAAAAUAAAAAAGAAAGGAAUAAAUAAAGAAAAAAGCAGCUAUAAAUUCCAACGAACGAAUUUAUUGGCUAUUUGACAUUUUUAGCAGAAUCUCAAGGCAUUUCGUUCGCAGAUAAUGUUUUUUUAUGUUUACGCAGAAUGAUCCAACAAUUAAUACUGUCAUUUCAAAUACCCAUGGGGCUAUGUAUUUUAUUCGACGAUCUUAUAAGGAGGGAAAAAAAAAACAAUAUUUUAAAUAAAAUGUUGGGUAUAACGAACAGACAAGAAGUUUUAAAUGAGAAAAAAAAUGAUAUAAAAAAAAAUAAAAUAAAAUAAAAUAAAAUAAAAAAAAUAAGACCGUUUUCAAAUAAUUUUAGUAUACAAAAUGGGGUUCUUUUCUUUUUUUCUUUUUGAGAUCAGUGAGUAAUUACUGACUCACUCUAUAUAUUAUUAUAGAUAUCACUUAACCAUCUCGCUCCCCAUUAUCAUCAUCACCAUCACCAUCAAUCAUGUAUCAGUAGUACAUAUUUCUCUAUACUUUCAUUAAAUACUCUUAUAACAUUUUUGCGAAUGUAUUCAAUUACCAAUUCGUUAUUAAAAUGUCAUAUAUUGAAUAAAAUUCUAUGCAGUGGCUAAAUGAUAUAUUAACAAAAAAGAAAAACAAAAAAAAAAAAAAAAAAAAAAAAAAAAAAAAAAAAAAAAAUAUAAAGAUGUGAUCAACUAAAAAUAUGUUUAAAAAACAAGAUAAAAUUCGAUGAAGUUAAAUGAAAGACGUAGAUAAGAGAAUCAUAUUUUAAUCAAAAACCAUAUAAAUCGAAGAAAUAGGAAAGCAGUUUGACCACGUUAAAAACGUUGAAAGAAGAAAAAAAAUAAGAAGAAAAAGAAGAAGAAAAAGAAGAAGAAAAAGAAGAAGUAGAAGAACUGGUGGAUUUGUCAAGGAGAAUAUAUCAAAGUGGUCCAAGCAGGAUGCUUCUCAGAAUCUGUCGACUUUCGCUCUUCGAAAGCUUCAAGGUUCCGCGAGAAAACUUGAAUCGACCUCGAUUUAUUCGUUCCCCGCUACUCUUUCUGCCGUCCUAUCCGGACUAAUCCUUCCUCACGUGGUUCGUGCCGGAAGGGUUCUAAAGCCUCGUUUUCACCAAGAGCGCGCAUGUGCGAGAGACAGAGACAGAGAUAGAGAGAGAGAGAGAGACAGACAGACAGACAGACAGACAGACAGACAGACAGAGAGAGAGAGAGAGAGAGAGAGAGAGAGAGAGAGAGAGAGCGAUAUUACGUCGCUGAUAGGAAUGUAAGGAUCUCAUUCUUUUCUUUCGUACAGCUGUUCUUGAAAGGAAAGCGCGUCUAAUCGUAGUAGAGCAAGAAAUUUUCAAUCGUCUAUCAUACGAUUGCGACAGAAAAGAUUACAAUGAAGCUUUUUAUAUAUACAUACAUAUAUAUAUAUAUAUAUAUAUAUAUAUACAUAUGUGUAUGUGUAUAUAUAUAAAAAAAAAAGUGACGUUCAGACGAUUUGCGAUUCAUGUUUCGUAGAAUCUAGCGAACGGAGAGAAGCAUUUGCCGAUAUUAUACAUACAUGCAUACAUAGAUGUGAACAAUUUGGUAAAUCGUAAGAGAUGAGUAUGAAUGUAUUCUAUACAUAUAUAUAUAUGUACGUUGCCUAUGAACCCGUGUGAAUGUCGACAAAGUGGUUAGACAUAUAUCGACCGUUCUAUUUUCCGAAUGGGUUUGGAAGUAGACGUCGAGAGACUGUCACUCUAUGAUUUAUACGUUUGUCUGCGCCGCAGGACAAGGUCGUUCUUCGUUCUCCUUCUCUCCGUAGCUCCCUCUCACUCGCUACUAAAUUCCUUUGUCGUACGAAUUCAUCCGGUAUAUGCAAAUAUCUUUGAUAUCGCUUAUUUCGCUCGUGUCGAAAGGAAACUUACAGACUUAUCUCUUCAAGGAAAUAUUUAAUUAGAUGUGAUUUUUCUCUGUUCAGAAGAAAGAAAGAAAGAGAGAGAGAGAGAGAGAGAGAGAGA
This is a long non-coding RNA of Vespa velutina, 7692 nucleotides long. RefSeq lists it as uncharacterized. The transcript is spliced from 2 exons. NCBI's taxonomy places the organism in Eukaryota, Metazoa, Arthropoda, Insecta, Hymenoptera, Vespidae. The record is from RefSeq and is a predicted model, not a curated record.